Molecule: ribosomal RNA, 492 nt
Filed under: uncultured bacterium
Lineage: Bacteria
Description: partial 16S ribosomal RNA
Rfam family: Bacterial small subunit ribosomal RNA
Source: RNAcentral
AGUGAACGCUGGCGGUAGGCCUAACACAUGCAAGUCGAACGGCAGCACAGUAAGAGCUUGCUCUUACGGGUGGCGAGUGGCGGACGGGUGAGGAAUACAUCGGAAUCUACUUUUUCGUGGGGGAUAACGUAGGGAAACUUACGCUAAUACCGCAUACGACCUACGGGUGAAAGCAGGGGAUCUUCGGACCUUGCGCGAUUGAAUGAGCCGAUGUCGGAUUAGCUAGUUGGCGGGGUAAGGGCCCACCAAGGCGACGAUCCGUAGCUGGUCUGAGAGGAUGAUCAGCCACACUGGAACUGAGACACGGUCCAGACGCCUACGAGAGGCAGCAGUGGGGAAUGUUGGACAAUGGGCGCAAGCCUGAUCCAGCCAUACCGCGUGGGUGAAGAAGGCCUUCGGGUUGUAAAGCCCUUUUGUUGGGAAAGAAAAGCAGCAGGUUAAUACCCCGCUGUUCUGACGGUACCCAAAGAAUAAGCACCGGCUAACUUCGUG